UGGGGAUGUAGCUCAGGGGUAGAGGGCUUGCCUAGCAUGUGGGAGGUCCUGGGCUUGAUUCCCAGUACUAA
This 71-nucleotide transfer RNA is filed under the name Marmota monax (woodchuck). RNAcentral's name for it is "tRNA.Ala". The record is from RNAcentral. Lineage: Eukaryota; Metazoa; Chordata; Mammalia; Rodentia; Sciuridae.